GUCUUAUUAAGAGUAGGCGGAGGGAAUUGGCCCGAUGAAACCUCAGCAACAGGCGUAUGUACUGUGCUAAAUCCAACAAGUUUAACUUGAAAGAUAAGAA
RNAcentral lists this non-coding RNA (100 nucleotides) under Staphylococcus aureus. RNAcentral's name for it is "SAM-I sequence". It matches the Rfam family "SAM riboswitch aptamer (S box leader)". Rfam says of the family: The SAM riboswitch is found upstream of a number of genes which code for proteins involved in methionine or cysteine biosynthesis in Gram-positive bacteria. The record is from RNAcentral. Lineage: Bacteria; Bacillati; Bacillota; Bacilli; Caryophanales; Staphylococcaceae.